UGCGACCCCAGGUCAGGCGGGACUACCCGCUGAGUUUAAGCAUAUCAAUA
RNAcentral lists this ribosomal RNA (50 nucleotides) under Amaranthus blitum. Its description in RNAcentral is "partial 26S ribosomal RNA". The record is from RNAcentral. RNAcentral also lists the same sequence under 5 other names. Lineage: Eukaryota; Viridiplantae; Streptophyta; Magnoliopsida; Caryophyllales; Amaranthaceae.